GUUUAUAGAGUGGGCCAGCCUUCCCAAAACCCAUUAUACCAACGCUUCGAGCCCUGUACAGCCAGACAGGAUUUCUGAGAUUAACAACUCAAACAGCUGCUUCUCUGGCCUGUCUCCUCCUGCAGAGGUAACCAAGAGAAACAAGAAUUACCAGCAGGAAUGUGAAUGGAGAGUAACAUUCUGAGAAGAACAUUCUGGGUAGAGGAAUUGAAGUCCCACACAACUUAAUGGGGACACUGGCUGCCUUGGCUCUACCAGAUCUCCUGGAAGAGGUGACUUGUUCUAUCUGUUCACACAAUUUGAAGAAACCACUUGCCGUUGAAUGUGGACACAAGUCUUGCUGUGAUUGCCUCUUAUGAAAUUGGAAAGGAAUCUGAUUACAGCACCUGCUUUAAGUAUAAAGAAAUUUGCAAGGGAAGGGACUUCCCUGGAGGUCCAGUGGUUAAGACUCUGCCCUUCCAUUGUAGAGACACGGAUUUGAUCCCUGGUCAGGGAACUAAGAUCCUGCACACUGCAUGGC
Long non-coding RNA from Bos taurus (domestic cattle), 520 nucleotides. The record is from Ensembl. NCBI's taxonomy places the organism in Eukaryota, Metazoa, Chordata, Mammalia, Artiodactyla, Bovidae.